AUUGAACGCUGGCGGCAUGCCUUACACAUGCAAGUCGAACGGUAGAGUAGCAAUACUUGAGAGUGGCGAACGGGUGAGUAAUGCAUCGGAACAUGCCCAGUCGUGGGGGAUAACGUAGCGAAAGUUACGCUAAUACCGCAUACGAUCUAUGGAUGAAAGCGGGGGACUCGCAAGAGCCUCGCGCGAUUGGAAUGGCCGAUGUCAGAUUAGGUAGUUGGUGGGGUAAAAGCCCACCAAGCAAACGAUCUGUAGCUGGUAUGAGAGGACGAACAGCAACAAUGGGACGAAGACACGGCCCAGACUCCUACGGGAGGCAGCAGUGGGGAAUUUUGGACAAUGGACGAAAGUCUGAUCCAGCAAUGCCGCGUGCAGGACGAAGGCCUUCGUGUUGUAAACUUCUUUUGUACGGAGCGAAAAUCUUUGGAUUAAUACUCCGAGGUCAUGACGGUACCGUAAGAAUAAGCACCGGCUAACUACGUGCCAGCCGCCGCGGUAA
RNAcentral lists this ribosomal RNA (496 nucleotides) under uncultured bacterium. RNAcentral's name for it is "partial 16S ribosomal RNA". It matches the Rfam family "Bacterial small subunit ribosomal RNA", at positions 30 to 523 of the family's 1533-position model. The record is from RNAcentral.